CAGUAGCCACGGUAAUACGAAGGGUGCAAGCGUUAAUCGGAAUUACUGGGCGUAAAGGGUGCGUAGGUGGUGGUUUAAGUCCGUUGUGAAAGCCCUGGGCUCAACCUGGGAAUUGCAGUGGAUACUGGGUCACUAGAGUGUGGUAGAGGAUAGUGGAAUUUCCGGUGUAGCAGUGAAAUGCGUAGAGAUCGGAAGGAACAUCUGUGGCGAAGGCGACUAUCUGGGCCAACACUGACACUGAGGCACGAAAGCGUGGGGAGCAAACAGGAUUAGAUACCCCUGUAGUCCCUGUCUCUUAUAC
RNAcentral lists this ribosomal RNA (301 nucleotides) under uncultured bacterium. RNAcentral describes it as "partial 16S ribosomal RNA". It matches the Rfam family "Bacterial small subunit ribosomal RNA", at positions 509 to 807 of the family's 1533-position model. The record is from RNAcentral.